GAUGAACGCUGGCGGCGUGACUAAUACAUGCGAGUCGAGCGAACAGAUAAGGAGCUUGCUCCUUUGAAGUUAGCGGCGGACGGGUGAGUAACACGUGGGUAACCUACCUAUAAGACUGGGAUAACUUCGGGAAACCGGAGCUAAUACCGGAUAACAUUUAGAACCGCAUGGUUCUAAAGUGAAAGAUGGUUUUGCAAUCACUUAUGGAUGGACCCGCGCCGUAUUAGCUAGUUGGUAAGGUAACGGCUUACCAAGGCGACGAUACGUAGCCGACCUGAGAGAGUGAUCGGCCACACUGGAACUGAGACACGGUCCAGACUCCUACGGGAGGCAGCAGUAGGGAAUCUUCCGCAAUGGGCGAAAGCCUGACGGAGCAACGCCGCGUGAGUGAUGAAGGGUUUCGGCUCGUAAAACUCUGUUAUUAGGGAAGAACAAAUGUGUAAGUAACUGUGCACAUCUUGACGGUACCUAAUCAGAAAGCCACGGCUAACUACGUG
Molecule: ribosomal RNA, 497 nt
Filed under: uncultured bacterium
Lineage: Bacteria
Description: partial 16S ribosomal RNA
Rfam family: Bacterial small subunit ribosomal RNA
Source: RNAcentral